RNAcentral lists this ribosomal RNA (562 nucleotides) under uncultured bacterium. RNAcentral describes it as "bacterial SSU rRNA". It matches the Rfam family "Bacterial small subunit ribosomal RNA", at positions 142 to 722 of the family's 1533-position model. The record is from RNAcentral.
GAUAACAGUUAGAAAUGGCUGCUAAUACCGCAUAAGACCACAGCACCGCAUGGUGCAGGGGUAAAAACUCCGGUGGUAUGAGAUGGCCUCGCGUCCGAUUAGCUAGUUGGUGAGGUAAUGGCCCACCAAGGCAACGAUCGGUAGCCGGACUGAGAGGUUGAACGGCCACAUUGGGACUGAGACACGGCCCAGACUCCUACGGGAGGCAGCAGUGGGGAAUAUUGCACAAUGGGGGAAACCCUGAUGCAGCGACGCCGCGUGGAGGAAGAAGGUCUUCGGAUUGUAAACUCCUGUUGUUGAGGAAUUUUAUGACGGUACUCAACAAGGAAGUGACGGCUAACUACGUGCCAGCAGCCGCGGUAAAACGUAGGUCACAAGCGUUGUCCGGAAUUACUGGGUGUAAAGGGAGCGCAGGCGGGAAGACAAGUUGGAAGUGAAAUCUAUGGGCUCAACCCAUAAACUGCUUUCAAAACUGUUUUUCUUGAGUAGUGCAGAGGUAGGCGGAAUUCCCGGUGUAGCGGUGGAAUGCGUAGAUAUCGGGAGGAACACCAGUGGCGAAGGC